RNAcentral lists this ribosomal RNA (475 nucleotides) under Staphylococcus aureus. Its description in RNAcentral is "partial 23S ribosomal RNA". It matches the Rfam family "Bacterial large subunit ribosomal RNA", at positions 2282 to 2756 of the family's 2925-position model. Lineage: Bacteria; Bacillati; Bacillota; Bacilli; Caryophanales; Staphylococcaceae. The record is from RNAcentral.
GUCGCCUCCUAAAAGGUAACGGAGGCGCUCAAAGGUUCCCUCAGAAUGGUUGGAAAUCAUUCAUAGAGUGUAAAGGCAUAAGGGAGCUUGACUGCGAGACCUACAAGUCGAGCAGGGUCGAAAGACGGACUUAGUGAUCCGGUGGUUCCGCAUGGAAGGGCCAUCGCUCAACGGAUAAAAGCUACCCCGGGGAUAACAGGCUUAUCUCCCCCAAGAGUUCACAUCGACGGGGAGGUUUGGCACCUCGAUGUCGGCUCAUCGCAUCCUGGGGCUGUAGUCGGUCCCAAGGGUUGGGCUGUUCGCCCAUUAAAGCGGUACGCGAGCUGGGUUCAGAACGUCGUGAGACAGUUCGGUCCCUAUCCGUCGUGGGCGUAGGAAAUUUGAGAGGAGCUGUCCUUAGUACGAGAGGACCGGGAUGGACAUACCUCUGGUGUACCAGUUGUCGUGCCAACGGCAUAGCUGGGUAGCUAUGUGU